UAAUCAGGUCAGGCAAUUGCUGUUUACAACGUAGGCAGAGGAAAGUCCGAACUCCUUAGAGCAGAGAGCCGGGUAACACCCGGGUGCAGAGUAAAAUCUGCAACGGAAAGCGCCACAGAAAAUAUACCGCCCCGGCAACGGGGUAAGGGUGAAAAGGCGAGGUAAAAGCUCACCGCUUGAUUUGUAAAAAUCAAGGCAUGGCAAGCCCCUCCCGGAGCAAGGUCAAGCAGAAAGUAUCCGCCCCGUGCGGAAGAUGCUGCUCGCAUUAUUACUUUCGGGUAGACUGCAGGAGUUGCGGAGUAAUCCGCAUCCCAGAUAAAUAAUUGCCGCCCGCCCUGCGGGAACAGAAUUCGGCUUACAGACCUGGUUAGAAU
Molecule: RNase P RNA, 374 nt
Filed under: Ignavibacteriaceae bacterium
Lineage: Bacteria; Pseudomonadati; Ignavibacteriota; Ignavibacteria; Ignavibacteriales; Ignavibacteriaceae
Description: RNase P RNA component class A
Rfam family: Bacterial RNase P class A
About the family: Ribonuclease P (RNase P) is a ubiquitous endoribonuclease, found in archaea, bacteria and eukarya as well as chloroplasts and mitochondria.
Source: RNAcentral